Molecule: long non-coding RNA, 1496 nt
Organism: Brienomyrus brachyistius
Lineage: Eukaryota; Metazoa; Chordata; Actinopteri; Osteoglossiformes; Mormyridae
Exons: 4
Source: RefSeq, a predicted model, not a curated record
GUGCUGAAAACCGACACUUCAUUCACGACUGGCAGCCGAUGGUAUGCUUAAAGGAACAGUUAGAGCAACACUAUUUCUAGGACUGACAUUGACAAAGAAACUCAUAACGUGCCUUUCCUUCCUAGGCUUUGGGUCCUUGUUAAGGUCUACACCACCGUUAAAUCUACCCAUGUAACAGGGGAUUUCUUCCUAAAACCUUGCUUCUGUUAGAAGACUCGACGUUUGUCGAAAGUAUAACUUUCUGAAAAAUAUCAAAGUCCACAAAAGAACGGUCAACUGAUCACAGAUCUUUCACUGAACACCUCAGUCUUCAGAUUAGAGUCUUGACCUCUUGACGUGAAGAUAGCUGCUGGAAUGGACGGACGAGUGGACAUCAGGGAUCUGGAAUGCUUCCUCCUGGAGGCCUGAUAUAAGGCUAGACUGCAGCAGUCAAGUGAAAAGAGAGGGAUCAGAAGCUGGUAUGAAAAAUCAAAAGCCAACAGGGGCAAGUGACUGGACUGGAGCGUUUUUUGGCUCCACGACAAGAGCUGCGAUCCAUAGAGGAGCAUCCUGUGACCCCUGAUCCCUGGACAAAGGCGACUGGUCGAUUUCCCAGUGUGCGGCAGCAUUGCCAACAAGAGGAACAUGAGGGGUGCGCCUGGGAAACAAACUGUUUAUUGUGUGGCAGGAUGGAGAAGGCCCUCGCUCUCCCACUGGGCUGCUGUGUGCUGUGUGCCCUUCUCCCAGCUGCCUCCGACCCACCCACAUAAGUGCACGCGCGCACACACAUGCGCACACACAUGCACACACACAUGCGCACACACAUGCACCUAUCCACACACGCUCAAACAUAACAGAUACUCACACAUGCGACUCCGGAAUUCCGGAAUUCCAGAAACAGAGGUAACACUCAGAGAUCCGACGGAAGGAGUAACAAGAAAGUGAUUAUUUUGCUUUCUUUAUGCCUCUGGUGUGAGCAGGCCCUGACUCUGGCCUUUGCGUCCUCUGAUUCAGCCCCACAGGGCCUGGAGAUCAAAGCCGCUUCGAGGACACUGGACAUGCACAGUCCAUUCCCUUACAUUAUAUAUGCACUUCCGACAGCAGCCAAGGACACAGUUUGGAGCAUAGUGCUGGCAGCGGGAUACGCACAGAAAUGAAACUAUAUACAGGCCCUUUGCAGAAAUGCCUCAAAACGCAAGAAUCCAACAUCCAUCCACGGCAAUCGGCCACCCCGACACAGUAAAACAUAGUACCCACUGAAACGCAGCAUUUAACAAAUAAGUUUUAAAUGUUUUUUUUCUUCUUUUUUUCCUUGUUUUUUUUGCCUUGUGUGAUUGUAAGGUUCGGCCAGCCCCAUUUGUUGUGGUUGAUUCAUUGAGUGCAGGGGCCUCUGUUUCUUUUGUUGUUUUUAUUAAAUAAAGCACAAAGCACUCCAUUCUGUCUGUUCCAGAGUUCAAGGACAUGGUCAAUAGAAGAGGCACCGCUUUUGUACACAAAGUAAAAAAUAAAGUGCAUUU